RNAcentral lists this ribosomal RNA (1550 nucleotides) under Salmonella enterica subsp. enterica serovar Typhimurium. RNAcentral describes it as "bacterial SSU rRNA". It matches the Rfam family "Bacterial small subunit ribosomal RNA". RNAcentral also lists the same sequence under 1 other name. The record is from RNAcentral. Lineage: Bacteria; Pseudomonadati; Pseudomonadota; Gammaproteobacteria; Enterobacterales; Enterobacteriaceae.
AAAUUGAAGAGUUUGAUCAUGGCUCAGAUUGAACGCUGGCGGCAGGCCUAACACAUGCAAGUCGAACGGUAGCACAGAGAGCUUGCUCUCGGGUGACGAGUGGCGGACGGGUGAGUAAUGUCUGGGAAACUGCCUGAUGGAGGGGGAUAACUACUGGAAACGGUGGCUAAUACCGCAUAACGUCGCAAGACCAAAGAGGGGGACCUUCGGGCCUCUUGCCAUCAGAUGUGCCCAGAUGGGAUUAGCUUGUUGGUGAGGUAACGGCUCACCAAGGCGACGAUCCCUAGCUGGUCUGAGAGGAUGACCAGCCACACUGGAACUGAGACACGGUCCAGACUCCUACGGGAGGCAGCAGUGGGGAAUAUUGCACAAUGGGCGCAAGCCUGAUGCAGCCAUGCCGCGUGUAUGAAGAAGGCCUUCGGGUUGUAAAGUACUUUCAGCGGGGAGGAAGGUGUUGUGGUUAAUAACCGCAGCAAUUGACGUUACCCGCAGAAGAAGCACCGGCUAACUCCGUGCCAGCAGCCGCGGUAAUACGGAGGGUGCAAGCGUUAAUCGGAAUUACUGGGCGUAAAGCGCACGCAGGCGGUCUGUCAAGUCGGAUGUGAAAUCCCCGGGCUCAACCUGGGAACUGCAUUCGAAACUGGCAGGCUUGAGUCUUGUAGAGGGGGGUAGAAUUCCAGGUGUAGCGGUGAAAUGCGUAGAGAUCUGGAGGAAUACCGGUGGCGAAGGCGGCCCCCUGGACAAAGACUGACGCUCAGGUGCGAAAGCGUGGGGAGCAAACAGGAUUAGAUACCCUGGUAGUCCACGCCGUAAACGAUGUCUACUUGGAGGUUGUGCCCUUGAGGCGUGGCUUCCGGAGCUAACGCGUUAAGUAGACCGCCUGGGGAGUACGGCCGCAAGGUUAAAACUCAAAUGAAUUGACGGGGGCCCGCACAAGCGGUGGAGCAUGUGGUUUAAUUCGAUGCAACGCGAAGAACCUUACCUGGUCUUGACAUCCACAGAACUUUCCAGAGAUGGAUUGGUGCCUUCGGGAACUGUGAGACAGGUGCUGCAUGGCUGUCGUCAGCUCGUGUUGUGAAAUGUUGGGUUAAGUCCCGCAACGAGCGCAACCCUUAUCCUUUGUUGCCAGCGAUUAGGUCGGGAACUCAAAGGAGACUGCCAGUGAUAAACUGGAGGAAGGUGGGGAUGACGUCAAGUCAUCAUGGCCCUUACGACCAGGGCUACACACGUGCUACAAUGGCGCAUACAAAGAGAAGCGACCUCGCGAGAGCAAGCGGACCUCAUAAAGUGCGUCGUAGUCCGGAUUGGAGUCUGCAACUCGACUCCAUGAAGUCGGAAUCGCUAGUAAUCGUGGAUCAGAAUGCCACGGUGAAUACGUUCCCGGGCCUUGUACACACCGCCCGUCACACCAUGGGAGUGGGUUGCAAAAGAAGUAGGUAGCUUAACCUUCGGGAGGGCGCUUACCACUUUGUGAUUCAUGACUGGGGUGAAGUCGUAACAAGGUAACCGUAGGGGAACCUGCGGUUGGAUCACCUCCUUACCUUAAAGAA